UAUUCACACAUAUUUGGGGAAAACGUAUAUUGCAAUAUCUAAGAUAUCACAUAAAUAUCACAGUCAUCGGAGAAUUAUGGCACCUGAGGAUUUAUUUAAUAUAAACACCCAUAGGAGCCAACUCCGAAUCAGUUGGCUCAGAGGCUUAAACCCAUCUCAACAUAUCUGACACACGUCUUGCUUGUACACUGUACUUGGAGAUAAGUAAGGACCUACAGAAAAAUCCCAUACCUUAGUCUCCAAACCCCAGCCUGGCACCGACCAAAUCUCGGAGUCUUCACUCGGAGCACAAAACAGACUCGCGAUUAUCAAACUGGAUUUGCUAGCAGUCAGAUUCAUUAAAGAGUUCCCUACCCCAUCCACCAACCACCAACCACAUCCCACAUCCAUACAUCAGAGUAGACAACCUCUGGUGAAUUACGCGCCCGCUCCUCCGCAAAGCCGAGACUGUGGUGGACAACAUGGCGGCGACCUUUGACCGCGGCACAGCGCUGUGACCGGUCGCGCCCUCGGUGUUACGUAAUUCGCAUCUUAAUUAAAAACUCGGAUCACCUCGGCGCGACCUCCGUCAGCUGCUGUUUUGACAGGGAGGCUGCACAGUAAAACUUCUCGCCAGAGAGGCGCAGGAGAGCGCGAGGACAUGGCGGCGGGAUGCGCUUUAUGAGGGCUGGCAACAUAAACAGGUAUUACCCGCCUGGCUCAUGCAAGCCUGCUACAGUGGGAACAUCUGAGACGUGUUGCAUAGGCGUAGCGAAUCGAGCGAAGCUAGCCAAUCUAGCCGGAAGCUAGCAGAGCGCGCCCCUACAAGCUAGCGAACCUAGACCCCUAGCGUAGCAAAGCUAGCGGCCUUUGGAGGUCCUACGCUUGCUAUUCAAAAUGGCCGACAUUGUUGUCGCUUUCAAGUUUGCAGAGGAGAGUUUCUUUGAUGCUCCCGUUAAAAAGGAGUAUUGGACCGGAUACAAAGUGAAACGAAUGUGGGAAAUCAAUGGACCAAGGGGGCAGUACUUUUUCUCAUGGACACUUAUGCCGAACAUAAGGAACAAUUUGCAAUUCCAACUUGAAAAUAGAGGUAUGGAAGAGGAUUGCUUGGGAAAUGGCAGCCUCAGGAUGCCACUUUGCUCCAGCAGCACUUGAGAAAAAAAUGGAGCAAUAUGAAAAUAUGGUACAAAACUAUAGUAGAUUUCAACAAGAAAACGGGCCAGGGAAGAUCACGAUGGAAUUUCUAUUCCAGAAUGGCUGAAAUCUUGGAAGGAGACCCUACGUUCAUCCCACCACUGACAUCAUCAUCACUGGGGAGUGUAAAAGGUGAGUGAACCAUUUAUAACAUAAAUAAGCAAGUAAAGCAUAAUUUUAGUAUAGCCAUAUUUAGUAAA
This is a long non-coding RNA of Pomacea canaliculata, 1373 nucleotides long. RefSeq lists it as uncharacterized. The transcript has 3 exons. The record is from RefSeq and is a predicted model, not a curated record. NCBI's taxonomy places the organism in Eukaryota, Metazoa, Mollusca, Gastropoda, Architaenioglossa, Ampullariidae.